AAAGGAGCAACAGCUCUAACACAAAAGUUGUUCAAGUCUGGUAUUGGUUCCAAUACAUAUAAGUUUACCAGUCAUCUCAACCUGUCACAUAUCAAUUUUUUAGAUGUUACUGUGUAUAAAUAUCAUAACAAACUGUUGGUCAAGAACUUCAGAAAACCAUCAGAUAAAAAUUCUUUUCUUCAUUAUAACAGCUUCCACCACUUUGGUUUAAAGACCAAUCUUCCAUUUUCACAACUACUUAGACUAAAGCGUAACUCAAGCUCUAAUGAACACUUCAUUCAUGAAAGCCUGACCUUAAGCCAGGAGUUUAGAAGUAGAGGCUAUCCUAAACAUGUCAUCAAAAAGGCAUUAAUUAAAGCUGAAAAAACUGAUAGAACCACCCUACUGAAAGAAUCUGCUAAACCAACUAAAAAUCAAAUUAUCUGGACACAAGAAUUAUCGCAUUACUCCAAACACAUAAUCCAAAUUAUAAAAAAGCACUGGCAUCUUCUUCAAGAUAUUUCAGGUUGUGAUAAAUUACCUAUUUUUGGAAACAGGCGUACUAAAAAUAUUAGAGAAUAUUUAAUCCAUACAGAUUUAAUCACUCCCAUUAGUACACCGAAGAGCACCCUGAGAGGCCAUUAUCCUUGUGGUCACUGUAAGUGUUGUCCUCAAUCUUGGAAGACUAAGGAGAUAUAUAAUCAUAGGAACAAAGUGGGCACCACACUAAAACAUUUUUCUACUUGUAAUAGCAACAAUGUAAUCUACCUCUUGACAUGUGACUGUGAUCUCUGGUAUAUCGGAAAAACAACCAGAUCCUUGAGAAUCAGAAUCUCUGAACAUAAAUCCAGAAUCAAAAAUUUAUCUACAGAAUCUCUUUUAUAUUCACACUUCACCCAAUACAAACAUUCAUCUACCUCAUUUAAAUUUUGUGCUCUGGAAUGCAUCUCUCAAAAACCUUUCAUGGACUUGGAAAAACUAUUAUCCCAAAGGGAAAUGUACUGGAUCUUUAAGUUUAAAACCUUUUCCCCUCAGGGACUUAAUGAAUCACUUAAUUUUAGCUGUUUCCUUUAA
RNAcentral lists this long non-coding RNA (1053 nucleotides) under Anolis carolinensis (green anole). RNAcentral describes it as "lncRNA (ENSACAG00000042169.1)". Lineage: Eukaryota; Metazoa; Chordata; Lepidosauria; Squamata; Anolidae. The record is from RNAcentral.